RNAcentral lists this ribosomal RNA (432 nucleotides) under uncultured bacterium. Its description in RNAcentral is "partial 16S ribosomal RNA". It matches the Rfam family "Bacterial small subunit ribosomal RNA", at positions 29 to 506 of the family's 1533-position model. The record is from RNAcentral.
AACGAACGCUGGCGGCAGGCCUAACACAUGCAAGACGAGCGAGAUCUUCGGGUCUAGCGGCGGACGGGUGAGUAACGCGUGGGAAUAUGCCUCUUGGUACGGAAUAGCCUCGGGAAACUGGGAGUAAUACCGUAUGUGCCCUUUGGGGGAAAGAUUUAUCGCCAAGAGAUUAGCCCGCGUUGGAUUAGGUAGUUGGUGGGGUAAUGGCCUACCAAGCCGACGAUCCAUAGCUGGUUUGAGAGGAUGAUCAGCCACACUGGGACUGAGACACGGCCCAGACCCCUACGGGAGGCAGCGGGGGGGAAUUUUAGAAAAGGGGGGAAACCCUGAUCUAGCCAUGCCGGGUGAGUGAUGAAGGCCUUAGGGUUGUAAAGCUCUUUCAGCGGGGAAGAAAAGGACGGUACCAGCAAAAGAAACCCCGGCUAACUCCGU